This 423-nucleotide ribosomal RNA is filed under the name uncultured prokaryote. RNAcentral's name for it is "bacterial SSU rRNA". It matches the Rfam family "Bacterial small subunit ribosomal RNA", at positions 355 to 774 of the family's 1533-position model. The record is from RNAcentral.
UGAGGAAUAUUGGUCAAUGGGCGCAAGCCUGAACCAGCCAUCCCGCGUGCAGGAAGACGGCCCUAUGGGUUGUAAACUGCUUUUCCAGGGGGAGAAACUUGCGCACGUGUUGCGCAAUUGACGGUACCCUGGGAAUAAGCAUCGGCUAACUCCGUGCCAGCAGCCGCGGUAAUACGGAGGAUGCGAGCGUUAUCCGGCGUCAUUGGGUUUAAAGGGUGCGUAGGCGGACUAUUAAGUCCGUGGUGAAAUCCUGCAGCUUAACUGCAGAACUGCCAUUGAUACUGAUAGCCUUGAGUUUGGUUAAGGUAGGCGGAAUGUGUAAUGUAGCGGUGAAAUGCUUAGAUAUUACACAGAACACCAAUGGCGUAGGCAGCUUACUGAGCCGACACUGACGCUGAGGCACGAAAGCGUGGGGAUCGAACA